UGUGUGAGUGGUAAAUGGAUAGCAUGACUUGGUUGGAUCCCUACUUGAGUAGCGACGUCCACUCGUGCAUUCCUCUUCAAUUUUUGGCACGAGAGCCUCUUUGGCCUUGGCCGCGUUGUUGGUUUCCUGUGCUACAUACCUACAUCGAUGGAAUUUGUCAGCCAAUUUAUCCCGAGUUCUCCUACAUCUGCACCGUUAACGCGGUGCGGCUUCGGGUGAACCUCAAAGCGAAAUUCGUGUGUCGACUUGCAUACCAUUGAUAUGCAGUCACGACCCAUGAACGUAGCGUGACUUUGGGGAUGCAGAAAACAUUGAGGGUAAGUGGUCUUUGACCUCUUUAUUUGCCCCAAAUCGGCAUUACACGCCCUAUUCGAUUGACUCUGGUGUUGCACAGACAUUCUAUGUCUUGCAGCUCGAUGUCACCGAGGAAUGUUACCUGGUUGAUCCUGCCAGUAGUCAUAUGCUUGUCUCAAAGAUUAAGCCAUGCANGUGUAAGUA
This 498-nucleotide unclassified non-coding RNA is filed under the name Hydnophytum ramispinum. RNAcentral describes it as "partial external transcribed spacer". The stretch from base 434 to 498 matches the Rfam family "Eukaryotic small subunit ribosomal RNA", at positions 1 to 65 of the family's 1831-position model. Lineage: Eukaryota; Viridiplantae; Streptophyta; Magnoliopsida; Gentianales; Rubiaceae. The record is from RNAcentral.